Molecule: long non-coding RNA, 826 nt
Organism: Piliocolobus tephrosceles (Ugandan red Colobus)
Lineage: Eukaryota; Metazoa; Chordata; Mammalia; Primates; Cercopithecidae
Exons: 2
Source: RefSeq, a predicted model, not a curated record
AAAAAAAACCACAGAAAAAGUCAGUUUACCUCUUUUCCGUGUUCAUUACUGAGGCAAGAACAAAAGGCACCAAGGAAGAGAAAGGAGUGGACUGGGUAGAAAAGAAGGAUGCCAAAGAGAAACUCCUGAAAAUUCCUCCUUGAAAACCGGGUUCAAUCAAGAGAAUAGACAGGGUCUUACUGUACUGCCCAGCCUGGAGUGCAAUGCCACAAUCAUGGUUUAUGGCAGUCUCGAACUACUGGGCUCAAGUGAUCCUUGAGACCGUCUUCCAAGUAGCUGGUACUAUAGGUACAUGCUAAUUUUUUAGUUUUUUUGUAAAUUUGCUAUAUUGCCCAGGCUAGUCUUGAACUCCUGGCCUCAACUGAUCCUCCCACCUCAGCCUCCCAAAGUGCUAGGAUUACAAGCAUGAGCCAUUGCACUUGGCUUCUUCUUACUUUUUAAUGCAGUUAAAAAUUACAUAUAUGUAUUACAUCUGUAGCCCACAUUAUAAUUCCAUUGAAGAGUGCUGAGACAUAAUAUUGACAUACUAUUUCCAUCAAAGAAACUCAGAACAUUUUUAUUAUUUAGAAACAUGCUAUUUUAUACAUACACUGUUAUCUAUACCUCCAAAGAUAGUAAGUACGUACUCAUAAGAAGCUAUAUGUACAAGUUUUCUUAUUAAUUUGCUUGCUACUUAGUCAUUUAUUUUAUCUCUUACUGCUUGCUAAGGGACAAGUGGUAGCAGUCUCUAAAGGUUUAAAAAUAAUUAUGUAAAAACACCAGUAUGCUCUGGCCUGUUAGUCUGACAAACAACGAACUGAUGUCUAAAAUAAAGAACACAUUGUAA